GAUGAAGAACGUAGUGAAAUGCGAUAAGUAAUGCGAAUUGCAGAUCUCCGUGAGUCAUUGAAUCUUUGAACGCACAUUGCGCCCUCGGGUAUUCCCGAGGGCAUGCCUGUCCGAGCGUCAUUAUCCAACCAUCAAGCUCGGCUUGCGGUUGAGCCCCGCACCGUCCCCGGGACGGUGGGCUCGAAACAUGUUGGGCGCCCGUGAGGUUCUCGGUGCAGCGAGCUCUCGAGCACGUGCCGGGCAACCUCUCUGGGCGUCGGCCAACCCCCAAUUUCUCAGGUUGACCUCGGAUCAGGUAGGAAUACCCGCUGAACUUAAGCAUAUCAAUAAGCGGAGGA
Molecule: unclassified non-coding RNA, 338 nt
Filed under: soil metagenome
Description: partial contains 5.8S ribosomal RNA, internal transcribed spacer 2, and large subunit ribosomal RNA
Rfam family: 5.8S ribosomal RNA (bases 1-120)
Source: RNAcentral